GAUGAACGCUGGCGGCGUGCUUAACACAUGCAAGUCGAACGGAAAGGCCCAAGCUUGCUUGGGUACUCGAGUGGCGAACGGGUGAGUAACACGUGGGUGAUCUGCCCUGCACUUCGGGAUAAGCCUGGGAAACUGGGUCUAAUACCGGAUAGGACCACAUUUUGGAUGGUGUGGUGGAAAGUUUUUCGGUGUGGGAUGAGCUCGCGGCCUAUCAGCUUGUUGGUGGGGUAAUGGCCUACCAAGGCGUCGACGGGUAGCCGGCCUGAGAGGGUGUACGGCCACAUUGGGACUGAGAUACGGUCCAGACUCCUACGGGAGGCAGCAGUGGGGAAUAUUGCACAAUGGGCGCAAGCCUGAUGCAGCGACGCCGCGUGGGGGAUGACGGCCUUCGGGUUGUAAACUCCUUUCGCUAGGGACGAAGCGUUUUUGUGACGGUACCUGGAGAAGAAGCACCGGCUAACUACGUG
RNAcentral lists this ribosomal RNA (467 nucleotides) under uncultured bacterium. Its description in RNAcentral is "partial 16S ribosomal RNA". It matches the Rfam family "Bacterial small subunit ribosomal RNA", at positions 28 to 507 of the family's 1533-position model. The record is from RNAcentral.